CAAAAACAUUUCCUUCUAGUUUAGAAGGUAAGGCCUGCUCACUGAAAUUUAAAGAGCCGCAGUAUCCUAACUGUGCUAAGGUAGCAUAAUCAUUAGUCUUUUAAUUGGAGACUGGUAUGAAUGGCUAAACGAGAAAUUGACUUUUUUUGUUAUAAAAAUCGAAUUUAAUUUUUUAGUGAAAAAGCUAAAAUUUUUCAGAAAGACGAGAAGACCCUAUAGAGUUUUAUAUUUAAAGGUAUAUUUCCUAAUUAGAUUUUCAUAGAUUAUAUAUUAUAGAAUAUUUUGUUGGGGCGACAUUAAGAUAUAAAAAACUCUUUAUUUUUUAAAUUUUUAUAAAAAACUUUUUUGAUCCUCUAAAAGAGAUCAAAAGAAAAAAUUACCUUAGGGAUAACAGCGUAAUCUUUUUUGAGAGUUCUAAUCGACAAAAAGGUUUGCGACCUCGAUGUUGGACUAAAAUUUAGGCAGGGUGCAGCAGUUCUGCUUUAAGGUCUGUUCGACCUAUAAUAUUUUACAUGAUCUGAGU
RNAcentral lists this ribosomal RNA (523 nucleotides) under Balanus glandula. Its description in RNAcentral is "partial 16S ribosomal RNA". It matches the Rfam family "Bacterial large subunit ribosomal RNA", at positions 1808 to 2610 of the family's 2925-position model. The record is from RNAcentral. Lineage: Eukaryota; Metazoa; Arthropoda; Thecostraca; Balanomorpha; Balanidae.